GUUGAAAUCCAGGGUGUCUACAUCCCACAGGAUUAUGGAGGGUGUAUGCAUUGUGCACUUGUCACUUAGAGACGCCUAUGGUCUGAGAAUGUUAAUUUUCCUUCGUGUCGUCGUGGUAGAGACCCAGAGAUGGCAUUUCAAGUUCCAGGAGUUAUGCAUGAACUGGCUUUCUGGAAUUAAAGGGAAGCAUGAGGAAUUUCACUGCCUUCCAGCAAUUAAAUUGCAUUCAAGAAUUCUACAGUAGCCUUGGUGGUCUGCAACGACAUUUCAGGGAUUAGAUGCUCUAUCUCCUGUCUGCAGACACAUGAGCAGAACCCAGGAUGGAAGAAUGUAAUCACCAGCGUGACUCCAGUGAUGGAGAUGAACUAGAUGUGGAGACUGGGGAGCAGCAGAGUCAACUCAGUUAUCAUCUUGGCGGCCGGGCUGCCGUCCAGCUCACAGAAGCCACCUGAUCCGGAAAAGAUUUCCAAAGCCUGCUGGAGCUGUUUCCAUACAGGCAGAGGCCAGUGUCAUCUCCAGCACCUGGGGGACAUAAGAGAAAGAGCCAGUGGCCUCCAAGACAAUCUCAGGUGAAUACGCUUGACCCAGACGAGGGAAGGAUCACACAAACUCUCCGUUGAUUGUCUUCCCACUCACAGAACCAGGCAACAAAGAAGUCUGUGGCGUCCACAGGAGGGAAACAAAGCAAAACGAAGCGCCGACCAGUGCGGUACUAUUAAUUCAAAUUAAUGACCCUCACCUACAAAUAAAGCUGGUGCCUGGCAGGUCGCUGGCUCUUGGAGAGCUGCAAUGAGAACAAACGUGGCUUUGCCGUCUGGCCAGGCAAUCGAUGCCUCCUGCCUGUCCCUGGCCGCCCCGCACCCACCUCUUACAGAUGUUACCUGUCUCCUGUUAAUUCUCCCGUGUCACUCUCCACUUCCCCGGUGGGGGUGGGGGGGGGGCGGUCAAGGGUUGACCUGGAGGGUGGGCUUAUUUCAUAAGAAAGGCCGAUUGAAAGGGCCCAGAUGCAAAGUCACACUGCUCUGCUGAGCUGGGAGGACACCCCACUGAGAGACGUGUCUGAAAUGGGUGGAGGUCUCUGGGCAUCACUGGCAGGGGUGGGUGCCUGACUGUCAUUUAGGGACAUUUCUGCCUUGAUCUGUUGCUCUUAUUUAUCUCUGCCAAAAUAAAGAUGUGUUUGAUGAUAAAGACUUCUUUUAUUCAGCCUCUCAGUUAUUCCAGCACGGUAGUUAGAGAUGAAUACAACGUUGCCCUUAAGCUACAACCUGAUCUUCACAAAAACCCUUUGAAGAAG
This 1294-nucleotide long non-coding RNA is filed under the name Homo sapiens (human). RNAcentral's name for it is "HSALNT0183735". The record is from RNAcentral. Lineage: Eukaryota; Metazoa; Chordata; Mammalia; Primates; Hominidae.